RNAcentral lists this ribosomal RNA (511 nucleotides) under uncultured bacterium. RNAcentral describes it as "bacterial SSU rRNA". It matches the Rfam family "Bacterial small subunit ribosomal RNA", at positions 1002 to 1509 of the family's 1533-position model. The record is from RNAcentral.
AGAGAUGGGCGGGUGCCUUCGGGAAUCGGAACACAGGUGCUGCAUGGCUGUCGUCAGCUCGUGUCGUGAGAUGUUGGGUUAAGUCCCGCAACGGAGCGCAACCCUUGUCCUUAGUUGCCAGCACGUAAUGGUGGGAACUCUAAGGAGACUGCCGGUGACAAACCGGAGGAAGGUGGGGAUGACGUCAAGUCACCAUGGCCCUUACGGCCAGGGCUACACACGUACUACAAUGGGAGGUACAGAGGGAAGCAAUGCCGCGAGGCGGAGCCAAUCCCCAGAAAACCUCUCUCAGUCCGGAUCGCAGUCUGCAACUCGACUGCGUGAAGUCGGAAUCGCUAGUAAUCGCGAAUCAGCAUUGUCGCGGUGAAUACGUUCCCGGGCCUUGUACACACCGCCCGUCACACCAUGGGAGUUGGUUGCUCCAGAAGCAGGUAGCCUAACCGCAAGGAGGGCGCUUGCCACGGAGUGGUCAAUGACUGGGGUGAAGUCGUAACAAGGUAGGCGUAGCGAG